RNAcentral lists this ribosomal RNA (253 nucleotides) under uncultured bacterium. RNAcentral describes it as "partial 16S ribosomal RNA". It matches the Rfam family "Bacterial small subunit ribosomal RNA", at positions 524 to 776 of the family's 1533-position model. The record is from RNAcentral.
UACGAACCGUCCAAACGUUACUCGGAAUCACUGGGCUUAAAGGGUGCGUAGGCCGCGCGGAGGGUGGGAUGUGAAAUCCCCCGGCUCAACCGGGGAAUAGCGUCCCAAACCGCCGUGCUCGAGGGAGACAGAGGUGAGCGGAACUGAUGGUGGAGCGGUGAAAUGCGUUGAUAUCAUCAGGAACACCAGUGGCGAAAGCGGCUCACUGGGUCUUUCCUAACGCUGAGGCACGAAAGCUAGGGGAGCAAACGGG